Seminavis robusta is the source of this 89-nucleotide non-coding RNA. The record is from the annotation of a GenBank genome assembly. Lineage: Eukaryota; Bacillariophyta; Bacillariophyceae; Naviculales; Naviculaceae.
GUCCGUGUGGUCUAGAGGUAUGAUUCCUGCUUUGGGAUGAACAACAUCGAAUUUGCAGGAGGCCCCGGGUUCGAAUCCCGGCACGGACC